ACAUGCAAGUCGAGCGGAGUAUCCUUCGGGGAAUGCUUAGCGACGAACGGGUGAGUAACACGUGGGUAAUCUGCCCCUCACAUCGGGAUAAGACUAGGAAACUGGAUCUAAUACCGGAUAACUGGUUUUCUCGCAUGAGAGAAUUAUGAAACACGGAGCAAUCUGUGGCUGAUAGAUGGGCCUGCGGCGCAUUAGCUAGUUGGUGGGGUAACGGCUCACCAAGGCGACGAUGCGUAGCCGACCUGAGAGGGUGAACGGCCACACUGGGACUGAGACACGGCCCAGACUCCUACGGGAGGCAGCAGUAGGGAAUCUUCCGCAAUGGACGCAAGUCUGACGGAGCAACGCCGCGUGAGUGAUGAAGGUUUUCGGAUCGUAAAGCUCUGUUGCCCUAGACGAACAGCAUGAGGAGUAACUGCCUUGUGUGUGACGGUAUAGGAGAAGAAAGCCCCGGCUAACUACGUGCCAGCAGCCGCGGUAAUACGUAGGGGGCAAGCGUUGUCCGGAAUUAUUGGGCGUAAAGCGCGCGCAGGCGGUUAAUUAAGUUGGGUGUUUAAGCCCGGGGCUCAACCCCGGUUCGCAUCCAAAACUGGUUGACUUGAGUGUAGGAGAGGAAAGUGGAAUUCCACGUGUAGCGGUGAAAUGCGUAGAGAUGUGGAGGAACACCACUGGCGAAGGCGACUUUCUGGCCUAUAACCGACGGUGAGGCGCGAAAGCGUGGGGAGCAAACAGGAUUCGAUACCCUGGUAGUCCACGCCAUAAACGAUGCAUACUAGGUGUCGGGGAUUCCAUUUCUCGGUGCCGAAGUUAACACAGUAAGUAUGUCGCCUGGGGA
RNAcentral lists this ribosomal RNA (835 nucleotides) under Paenibacillus sp. B6-7-W. Its description in RNAcentral is "bacterial SSU rRNA". It matches the Rfam family "Bacterial small subunit ribosomal RNA", at positions 53 to 879 of the family's 1533-position model. The record is from RNAcentral. Lineage: Bacteria; Bacillati; Bacillota; Bacilli; Caryophanales; Paenibacillaceae.